UACGAAGGGGGCUAGCGUUGCUCGGAAUCACUGGGCGUAAAGCGCACGUAGGCGGAUCUUUAAGUCGGGGGUGAAAUCCUGGAGCUCAACUCCAGAACUGCCUUCGAUACUGAAGAUCUCGAGUCCGGGAGAGGUGAGUGGAACUGCGAGUGUGGAGGUGAAAUUCGUAGAUAUUCGCAAGAACACCAGUGGCGAAGGCGGCUCACUGGCCCGGUACUGACGCUGAGGUGCGAAAGCGUGGGGAGCAAACAGG
This 253-nucleotide ribosomal RNA is filed under the name uncultured bacterium. RNAcentral's name for it is "partial 16S ribosomal RNA". It matches the Rfam family "Bacterial small subunit ribosomal RNA", at positions 524 to 776 of the family's 1533-position model. The record is from RNAcentral.